AGCUGUUCUUAAAUAUUACAGAGCAUUUAAUGCUCGACUUUUUGUGAACGCAAUUUAAUUUUUAGCUGCCUUGGCUGACUCUUGAUGCUGCCACAGUUUUUUUUGCACCUUGGCAGACGGAAAUGUUUGUGCCGGCCCCUUGCCAAUGGCAAACAAAAAAGCGGCAAGGAAUACGAAACGAAUAAAUGAAAAACGCAGGACUCGCAGGACUCGCUGGAAAAGGCGGCAAAGGCUGGGAAAAUGUGCGCCGGCCUCAGACAGCCAAAUAAAAACGGGCCAAAACAAAUUGUGGCCCAGAGAGCCGGCCUCGUCCUUCGUCCUUUGUCCUGCGUCCUGCGCCCCUUUUUGCCACCAGCCUUAAUUCGCAGUCAAAACCAGAAAGCCACUUGGAAAUGUGUAGGGUGCAAAAAAAAAAAAAUGAGAGGGGAACUUGGAAAAAAGCCGAAACAUUUUCUUUCAUUUGUUGCGUUUUAAAUUUUCAUGCGCAGCGAGUGUCGGCAGUUACCAAGGCCUAAACUAUAUAAACACGACUGGUUGGGGGAGGCCAUCUCUGAUUUAUGCAGCCCAUAAAAUUGCCUGGCGUGAAAAAGUGGAGAAAGUCGAAGCUGAAGAAGUGCAGCAGCCAUCGAAAGGGGAAGCUAAGGGGUUGGGGAUUGGGGAUCCGGGAUUCGGGAGUCCGAAUCCAAGUCGGAGAUGGCUUAGCCCCGGGCUGAAAGGAGCUCAACGUGUUUUGGGGGCAGGCGCAGGAUGGCUGUCAGCUCGCAUCGAGAUGAGUCGGCCAAGGGUUCCUCUAAUCCUGAAGCUGAAUCCUCACAGGAACUAGUUCUCCUUGGAUUGGCAGUUAAAGAAUAUAUUUUACAGCUUUACAUUAGGUUCCAGAACUCAUAAGAUCCUUUUUUCUCUAGGUUGUCAUUUUUAAAAGGCUAUUACUACCCGACCCAUAACUUGACCCCAUGCAAUACGACUUCCUAGUGAUUGAUAUCGAUUAGUCAACAUAAAAUAUUAAUUAAAUUAAAUUUGAAGGGAUGGAAAAAAUGCGUCAGGAUUAGCAAUCAAUCAAUCAAAUAGCAGAAGCGGAAGAAUGCAUAUUCGCUAAGCCUUUCUGGGAACUCGGGGAACCAGUUUCCUGGAAUCCCUGGCUGCAGUCCUGACCAGAUAGUCACGUAGCUUAAAUGGAGUCCCAGGAGCAACCGGGAGGAUGGGGAAACGGAGGCGUUCGUUCACGUUCAUGUCGGUUGGCAGGCGGCAUUAUAAUGCAUUUUUUUUGCAACCCGUCUCUCCGGCUUUGCCAGGCACUCAUUAUGCGUUCGUCUUGAGCUCCGGACGGAGGAAGGAGGAAGGACUCGGUGCUCAGGACUCAGGACUCGGGUCUGACAGGUCCUGAAUAGGCAACAGGCAGAAGGUCUCGUGCGAUUUUUCCUUGGCCGCACAUGCCUGACUGCACUUCAAUCAAAAUCAAAUAUUACAGCUGGCAAGAGGGAAAGGCAGGUGCUAAGGUACA
This is a non-coding RNA of Drosophila suzukii, 1501 nucleotides long. The record is from RefSeq and is a predicted model, not a curated record. Lineage: Eukaryota; Metazoa; Arthropoda; Insecta; Diptera; Drosophilidae.